This 312-nucleotide transfer-messenger RNA is filed under the name Pelagibacter phage HTVC008M. RNAcentral describes it as "Alphaproteobacteria transfer-messenger RNA". It matches the Rfam family "Alphaproteobacteria transfer-messenger RNA". From Rfam's summary of the family: Bacterial tmRNA, also known as 10Sa RNA or SsrA, is named for its dual tRNA and mRNA-like properties. Its role is to liberate the mRNA from a stalled ribosome. Lineage: Duplodnaviria; Heunggongvirae; Uroviricota; Caudoviricetes; Pantevenvirales; Kyanoviridae. The record is from Rfam by way of RNAcentral.
GGACUGGCAAUGGGACACAGACUUAAUGAUAGAUGUCGUAAACGAAGUUAUCAAUGAAGAUGAGACAAGUACGCAAUAGGGACUUGGGUGCAAUACCCAACACCUCCACCAAAACCACUUCUAUGAAGCAUGGUGGUACCACAGAUGAAGUGGUUUUGAUGGGGGUGAUAUAGGUUUGACCGUUGUGAGAAAGUUCAUUGGAGAUAAUUCACUGGCGAGUGUAAACGUGACAAAUGCAAACUUUAACGAGUAUGCUUUAGCAGCCUAGUGUUGCUUAGGGUUUGCCUGUACCUCGUAACAGAAACAGGCACU